UUCUCGAAUUUGGAAGAGCUAUCUGUUUUAUUGUUAUAAAUAUUAAAAAUUAGAAGUGAAACGUUAAUAUAUCUAGUUUUCUAAGAAAAUUUAAUUUAUUUAUGUUUUAGGGGAUGAGCUUUUAAUAGGAUUAGAAGUUUUGUUAUAACUUUCUUAUUAGAAUUUAGGCUUUAAUUAUUUUAAUAAUUAUGAUUAAAUUAGUAUAAGGUUUUUAAAAGGAACUCGGCAAUAAUUUUUUACCUGUUUAUUAAAAACAUGGCCUUUUGAUUUUAAUUUAAGGUCUUGCCUGCCCACUGAGGCCGCGGUAAUUUGACCGUGCAAAGGUAGCAUAAUAAUUAGUUUUUUAAUUGAAAGCUGGAAUGAAGGGUUGGAUAAGAAAAUAACUGUCUCUUAUAUAUAGAAUUUUAUUUUUGAGUAAAAAAGCUUAAAUUUUUUUUAAAGACGAGAAGACCCUUUAGAGUUUAAUUUUGGUUGGGGUGAUUAGAAAAUUUAAUUAACUUUUGAUUAAAAGAAUAAAUUACCUUAGGGAUAACAGCGUAAUUUAUCUUAGAGUUCUAAUCGAAAGGUGAGUUUGCGACCUCGAUGUUGGAUUAAAAUUUAUUUUGGUGCAGAAGCU
Molecule: ribosomal RNA, 616 nt
Filed under: Aridaeus heros
Lineage: Eukaryota; Metazoa; Arthropoda; Insecta; Coleoptera; Cerambycidae
Description: partial large subunit ribosomal RNA
Source: RNAcentral